This 157-nucleotide non-coding RNA is filed under the name bovine gut metagenome. The record is from RNAcentral.
UCUAUGGGGGAGGAAGCGGAGUAGCAAAACCGACGAGCCUACGAACAGAAACUGGAUAUAAGGCCAAACGGUGGGUAAGGUUGCAAGAGAAACCAAAGCCCGAAAGGUAGACGUAAAACCGAAACGGUAAAUCCAGAGGUUGUGCGGUGAAAGAAUU